This 620-nucleotide long non-coding RNA is filed under the name Homo sapiens (human). RNAcentral describes it as "non-protein coding lnc-HERC2-1:1". Lineage: Eukaryota; Metazoa; Chordata; Mammalia; Primates; Hominidae. The record is from RNAcentral.
AUGGCCCAUGGGCCUGGCGCUGACGGACCCCGGAGCGGUGUCUGAGGGAGGUGGGCAAAGCCACUGGCUGGCCCGAGUGCAUCCUCACGUAAGUUUCAAGAUGGAUUGGAACCAAAGUUCACUUCUUUAACAAAAGUGCUUUAUGACUUUAAUAAAACAGUAGAGAAUGGUAGAAUCCAUGGCAGCUCUUUACAAAAACUUGUGAUAGAAAGUUUUGAUGAUGAGCAGACUUUGCAACAACUGGAAUUGCAAAAUGAAGCAAUUUUACAGUGCUUCCAGAAUGCGGUUAGUGAAAGAAAGAUGAAGAUAUCAGUCUUCUCCCAGAGAGUGAAGAACAGGAGCAUGAAGAGGCUGGUUCAGAAACAGAGGCUGAUGGCCAGGAGGACCUAGAAGAUUUAGAGGAGGAGGAGGACGUGUCAGAUAUGGGUGGUGACAAUCCUGAAAUGGGUGAGAGAGCUAAAAACUCAAGCAAAUUGAUGAAUGACAAAAAUUACAUCUUUAGAAAAAGAGUUGUUAGAAAAAAGCCUUGGCUGCAUGUGGGGGAAGUGACAGCACAGAAGAGACCAGAGAAGAGCCUCCUGGAGGAGAGCCUGCACUUUGACCAUGCUGUCCGGAUGGGU